CCUACGGGGGGCAGCAGUGAGGAAUAUUGAGCAAUGGGCGCAAGCCUGACUCAGCAACGCCGCGUGGACGAUGACGGCCUUCGGGUUGUAAAGUCCUUUUCUGCGGGACGAUAAUGACGGUACCGCAGGAAUAAGUCCCGGCUAACUACGUGCCAGCAGCCGCGGUAAAACGUAGGGGGCGAGCGUUAUCCGGAUUUACUGGGCGUAAAGCGCAUGUAGGCGGUCUGGCAAGUUGGACGUGAAAGCUCCUGGCUUAACUGGGAGAGGUCGGACAAAACUACCAGGCUUGAGGCUGGAAGAGGAGUGUGGAAUUCCCGGUGUAGUGGUGGAAUGCGUAGAUAUCGGGAGGAACCCCAGUGGCGAAAGCGGCACUCUGGUUCAGACCUGACGCUGAGAUGCGAAAGCGUGGGGAGCAAACGGGAUUAGAUACCCUAGUAGUC
Molecule: ribosomal RNA, 440 nt
Filed under: uncultured bacterium
Lineage: Bacteria
Description: bacterial SSU rRNA
Rfam family: Bacterial small subunit ribosomal RNA
Source: RNAcentral